AGUGGGUAAUAUACAUAACACUUAACUGUAUAUGCAUUGAUAUUUUGCAGUUGGAGAGAGCAGAGGUUCACCUGGAAGGGAUAGAUACAAUUUUAAAAUUGUAUCUGGCGAGCAAGAAUUUCUUACUUCCAUCUGUGCAGUAAGCGAUGUUUUGUGGAUGGCAAAGACUUAUUCCUGAAGGAAUCGAUAUAGGGGAACCUCUUACUGAUUGUUUAAAGGAUGUUGAUUUGAUCCCACCUUUUAAUCGGAUGCUGCUGGAAGUCACCUUUGGCAAGCUGUAUGCUUGGACUGUUCAGAACAUUCAAAAUGUUCUGAUGGAUGCCAGUGCCAAAUUUAAAGAGCUUGGUAUCCAGCCGGUUCCCCUGCAGACCAUCACCAGUGAGAACCCACUGGGACCGAGCCUGGGGAGCAUCCCGCAAGCCCGCUUCCUCCUGAUGAUGCUCAGCAUGCUCACCCUGCAGCACAGCGCAAACAACCUCGACCUCCUGCUCAAUUCCGGCACGCUGGCCCUCACUCAGACGGCACUGCGCCUGAUUGGUAGGUCUGCACCGGCUUGAGAGCCUUUGGGAAAACAUCAAGAUUUUGCUUUGAUUUCUUUUUUUUUUUUUAAAGCUUUUUGUAAAUUAUGGUAAGACACAAAUAGCAGAAAGUGUAGCAUUUUAAUGUCACAAUUCAGCGGUAUUAAAUACAUUCACAGUUUUCUAGAGUCAUCACCACUGUCUAGUUGUAGAACUUUUUCAUCACUAUAAAUGCACCCCAUUUAGCCAUCAGUCCUGACUCCCCUGCUCUCCAGCCCCUGGUAGUCAC
RNAcentral lists this long non-coding RNA (807 nucleotides) under Pan troglodytes (chimpanzee). Its description in RNAcentral is "lncRNA (ENSPTRG00000053834.1)". Lineage: Eukaryota; Metazoa; Chordata; Mammalia; Primates; Hominidae. The record is from RNAcentral.